Cricetulus griseus (Chinese hamster) is the source of this 3497-nucleotide non-coding RNA. The record is from RefSeq and is a predicted model, not a curated record. Lineage: Eukaryota; Metazoa; Chordata; Mammalia; Rodentia; Cricetidae.
CAGCAAUGCAGCAUGCAUGCCUUUUUUAAUCCAUUCCAUUUUUUAAAAAAAUAAAACAGGGUCUCAUGGAGCCAAGAUUGGCCUUGAACUCCUGAUGCUUCUGCCUCCGCCUCCCAAGUACUGAGAUCACAGAUGCUCUAUCACUGCUACUCCAGGCCUUCGAAACAGGAGCCAUUUUGUGGCAUGCUCCUCUUUCCUACCACCACGGGGCCAGAGAGAUGUCACCAAAACUCAAAGCAACAGUCUUGUGUGCCAGCUGAGGUGGCUUGUCCUCAGCUGGACAGAUGAAUGAGCAAUAAGCAUCAUGGGGCCUGUUACAGAAAGUCACCCAGUAUCUCGAGAACUCACGUCAGCAGGGGACAGUCGUCUUCAAGAUGCCUUCAGGCCCCCAUGAGCCAGCUUGGAAGCACUCAUUUUCAAAAAGAUAGUGUUGGUGUAUGCUGGACCACACCACGACUGUCCUGCUGGCCCUGGGUCUGAGGGCUCUGUGCCCCCAGCUCUGCUAGAGACUGCUGGCAUCUCACUUCCAGCUAGGAGGAACUAUCAAGCUACAAGCCCACCAGAGGCAAUGGAAGACAUUCCCUCCGUCUCUGCCUGGAGAACCCCCUUGGACGAUGGGACCACUUGCAUCUGGCAGGCGAAGGCCAUCAGGAUACUUACUGAGGACACAGCAAGGAAAUGGCAGAGCCAGGAUUCACUGACUCCAAGGUCAGUGACAUUUCUGUAACAAUAGUGGCGGUAUUCAUCUUUAGUAUAUAGGAAACCUAGUUCAUCUUUUAAUGUGUAAGUUUUAACCUGCAUAUAUGUAUGCAUGUGUACCACGCAAAUGCUGGUGCCCACAGAGGCCAGAAGAGACAGUCAGGUCCCUAGGAACUAGAGUCAUAGGUGAUUAGAAGCUGCCCAACAUGGGUUCUGGGAACUGAACACCUCUUCAGCCCCCUAGUGUAAUACUGAAUUGCCAUCACCUGAUCCAGAGGUGUGUGGGAGCAGGUGCCUGACCCACGGGAGGAUGGGUCACUUCCAUUUACUUCCAGUUGGCAAGAGUAAAAUGGCCAGGAUCCUCAGUUGCUGUUCAGUCUGUUGCACUACCACCAAUUCAAGCUUUAGAUAGGGCACAGUCAAGUCCCUUUCACAGUCAUCUGCUUUCUGGGUGACAAUGGUAAGACCUCUCUCGGCCUGCCGCUUCUCUGCUUAGGGCUAGUGUUAGAGGGAAAGCCCCUGCUGCUGGGGUGUCAUGGUCUUUGGCACAUUGUCCCUCCUUCACUUCCAAGGCAACUGCAGAAGCCCAGCCUGAGGACUAGCUGAGUUGGCCGUCAGUACAGUGAGCUGACCAUGGUGCAUUGUUAGCUCCAGGAAGUGGUUAGCUAUUUUCCAGCAGGUCUGCAGAGCCGGACAGCCAGCCUGCCUUGGAAUUGGCGGAUGGGAGUCGAGAACACUGCUUUCCUGGAGCCCUUGGGCUCUGGGCCAGGCCCUCAGGCUUCCUUUAGAAGAAGGAGCCCUGAUUGAGUGAGCAAGCCAUUCUUGCCCAGCUUGGCACACGUCUUCUCUGUCUACCUCAUGCCCUUCUCUCCACCCAAGCCUCUUUGCAGCAGAGUGCACAUUAUUGGCUAUGGCAUCCAUGAAUCCUGCUUUCCAGAGGGCAGGAGGGCUGUGCACACCAACACCUCAGUAGAGGAAUUGCACCACAUGGGCUCCAGCCUGGGUAGUGGGGCUGAGAGGAAGCCCUCAGCUGCCCUGUCGGACCUGGGCUACAAACUCCUGCCACGGUGGAACUAAGAGCUCUGAGCACAGGGCAGCCUUGGGAAGGCUUGCAUCCUCUCGGGGCCUGUUGCCCAUUUGAUAGCUGUAGGAGUGCUCUGUAGACUGUCUAUGUUGCAUAUAGAGCUGACACUGUUGCUGCCUGCCUUUUCCCUUCCAGGAGGACACUUGAGCCGGAACACUGGUCCCUUGGAGAGUAGUUGCACUGCCUGACACUGAGGUCACAUGUGGGUCUUCACAUGAUGGCUGGUGUCUUCUGCCAUUGAUCCUGCAAGAUUAUCUUUCCUGACAGUUCUUCUCUGGCCAGUGGCUCUAGAUUGAGCUGUAGUCCUUGUCUCUGUCCUAGAUCCCUGAGGGUUGGGUCACCAAAGCCCAGCAUGUAAGGAGGUCUCCUUCCCCUGGGAGUUUCAAGUUCAGGCAGCUGCAGGGCUCUGCUUUAGGCUGGGGCCUCUGCACAGCUCCCCCUUGCCCUGCCAGAUGUCUUGGGGUCAGCUACCCUGCAGCGUUCUGGUGUACCUGACUACUAGAAAAGCAAUACUCCCCUGUCACCCUAUUUUUUUUUUGUCCUGGAGUUUGGACUCGGGCUUUCAACAUACUAUGCAAGUGCUCUAUCACUGAGCUAUAUGCCCAGCCCUUUUUUGAUUUGAGACAGAAUCUUGCUAUGUAGUCCAGCUUGGGCUUGAACUCAUAAUCCUUUUGCCUCCAUCUCCCGAGCCCUAGCAUUAUAGCUGUGCACCACCAUGCCCACCUGGAUUUCCUGUUUUGACUCCUGUGUCAGGAAAGCAACCCUGGAUGGAAGUGAGGCCCAUUCCUGAUGGCUUGGCCAUUGCAGGGCUGUCUAGGAGGAAUGCGUAAUAGCACAGUGCACAGGAUAGGUAGAAGGACGGGUAGCUGUCAGUUUUCCAUGGACCUUGUUUCUGUUGAUAUAUUGUUCCUUCAAAGGUCACCCUUUAAUUAAUCUGUGUCACCAGAGUUCAAGCAGGGGCAGCCACAUCCCCUGGCUUUAGAGGAAGGCAUGUGUUCCAGGCCUGGGCAAAGACUGCUGAAUCCCCCCUCACAUCCCCGUGGGACUUCAGCUGCGUCUUUUCAUGGGAGUUAAGUUGACAAGAUGUCAGCUUGAAAUUGCUGGUGGCCAACUUAUGCAGCUAAGGAUGAAGCCAACAAAGAAGAAAGAAAACACAGAUUACGCUGUGUGGACUUGUUCUUGCUACUCAACAAGCCCCUGGAUUGAGCCAUGCCUGAAGCCAACACUUGGACUAACCUGAAUACAUGAGCCAUUUUUUUUUUUUUCCUCUAAAAGAAACCCAUCUUGGAUUUGUGUGACAGAAUGGCUCCUAGUACAGGCAAUGGUUUUCUACCUUUCUCAGAACAGCAUUGUUGAGAUAUUAUUUAUGUGCAACGAAAUUCACCAGUUUUAAGUAUACAGUUUCUAGUCUUUUCAGGAACACAUACCCAUGUAACCAUCAGCAUUAGACUGGAAUCUUACCUGCCCUGAAAAACUCUAUCCACCCCCUUGAUGGUUAGUCUUUUCUGGUGGUCACACAGUAUAUGUUAAGUGUCUAGUUUCUCUUAGUGUGUUUUUAUGAUUAAUUCCUCCAUGUACAUUAGGGUCCAUCUACUCCAUUGUAGGCUGGACAGCAUGACACCCUGUGGGUAUUCCACCAUUUGUUUAUCCAUCUGGUAUACGAUGGCUGAUUUUGGUUGGUGUGAAUAAAGCUGUUUUGCAUGCUCAAAUGUCA